This 296-nucleotide ribosomal RNA is filed under the name uncultured bacterium. Its description in RNAcentral is "partial 16S ribosomal RNA". It matches the Rfam family "Bacterial small subunit ribosomal RNA", at positions 27 to 310 of the family's 1533-position model. The record is from RNAcentral.
GAACGAACGCUGGCGGCGUGGAUUAGGCAUGCAAGUCGAACGAGAAAGGGUUCGCAAGGACCCGAGUAAAGUGGCGAAAGGGUGAGUAGUACCUAGUAACCUGCCCUGAAGACGGGGAUAACGUCUCUAACGGGACGCUAAUACCCGAUGUGUCGGCGGCCUCGCAUGGGGUUGCCGGUAAAGAUAGCCUCUGUACACAAGCUUUCACUUCAGGAGGGCCUCGGGCCUAUCAGCUAGUUGGCGGGUAACGGCCACCAAGGCUGGGACGGUAGCCGGUCUGAGAGGAUGGUCGGCCA